GCUCAGAUUCGCCCAGACCGCGAGCCGCUUCCGGAUGCACGCGCAGCAGCAGGGAAAGCAGCAUGGCGCAUCUGAAACCCCAGGGCAGCAACAAGCAACCGCGCCCUCAUGUGGUCCUGAAGCUCUGAGCCCAGACGCUAAGAGCUCUGCUCCUCCCCGCGACAUCAGGGCUGUCAGCAGCACCUUGCACGGAACAGCUCCUCUGGGUCGGGUGCCACACUGAGCGCGUCCUCUCCAUCCCUGGGGCAAGGCCGCCUCUGUCUCCAUUUCACCGAAGUGGUAACUCACACUCAGCGAGACUGAGUGCAGGCUGAGGUCACCCAAAGCACAAACGGUAGAGGCAGAAUUGGAAAACACAUCAGCCUCGGGCUUUCCAUCGGAUUGUUUUUUGACAGGCAGAUUUAGACAGUGAGAGAGAAACAGAGAGACAGAAAGGUCUUCCUUUCCGUUGGUUCACCCCCACAAAUGGCCGCUAUGGCCGGCGCUGCGCCGAUCCAAAGCCAGGAGCCAGGUGCUUCUCCUGGUCUCCCAUGGGGUGCAGGGCCCAAGGACCUGGGCCAUCCUCCACUGCACUCCCGGGCCACAGCAGAGAGCAGGACUGGAAGAGGAGCAUCCGGGACAGAACCCGGCACCCCGACCGGGACUAGAACCCGGGGUGCUGGCGCCACAGGCAGAGGAUUAGCCAAAUGAGCCGCAGCACUGGCCGGAUUGGUUUGUUUUUUUUUUUUUAAGGUUUAUUUAUUUGUUUGAAAGUCAGAGUUACACAAAGAGAGAAGGAGAGGCAAAGAGAGAGACAUCUUCCAUUCUUUGGUUUACUCCCCUGUUGGCUGCAAGAGCCGGAGAUGUGACGAUCUGAAGCCAGGAGCCAGGAGCUUCCUCUGGGUUUUCCACAUGGGUGCAGGGGUCCAAGGACUUGGGCCAUCUUUUACCUGCUUUUCCAGGCCAAAGGAGAGAGCAGGAUCGGAAGUGGAGCAGCCGGGACUCAAACCAGCACCCAUGGCACUGCAGGCGGUGGUUUUACCCACUCCACUACAGUGCUGGCCCCCUCAUUGGAUUGUUGAGUUGCCUGUCUCUAGAGAAUGUGUCAUUUCUUGAACUGCCUCCCAGAAGGAAGCUUACUUUGGGAGGACUUGGCCUAAAAUGUUAGAAAGAUGUACUCUGCAGAGAGCAGGUGCACUACGCAAUGGGCAGGUACACUAUACAGAACUGGUGUGCCAUACAGAGAGCAGGUGUGCCAUACAGACAGCAGGUGCACUACUCAGAGAGCAGGUGCACUAUGCAGAGAACAACAGGUGUGCUGUACAGAAAGCAGGCAAACUAUGCAGAGAACAGGUGCCCUAUGCAAUGGGCAGGUGCACUAUACAGAGAACAGGUGUGCCAUACAGGCAGCAGGUAGGAUAUACAGAGAGCAGGUGCACUACACAGAGAGCAGGUGCACUACACAGAGAGCAGGUGCCCCCCACAGACAGAAGGUUCACACGUACAGCAGGCAUGCUAUAGAAACAGGUGUGCUAUACAGAGUGCAGAAGCUCUACACAGACAGCAGGUGCACUACACAGAGCAGGUGCUGUAUUCAGGGAGCUGAUGUACUGUCCAGAGAGCAGGCACUCUACACAGACAGAGGCUGUACUAUGUACUAUGCAGAGAGCAAACACACAACUUGGUGCAGAGAGCUCUGUGCCCGCAGGGGACAACCUGGAAAAGCCACUGAAAGGGGUGGUGCCUGCACCCACACCCACGGGAAAGAACCCACAAGGAGCUCACUCUCGGUCUUACCCAAUGGAAACGUCUCCCAGCCUGCUGAGCCCCAGACAGUGCAAGGAGGACCAGCU
Molecule: non-coding RNA, 1832 nt
Organism: Oryctolagus cuniculus (rabbit)
Lineage: Eukaryota; Metazoa; Chordata; Mammalia; Lagomorpha; Leporidae
Source: RefSeq, a predicted model, not a curated record